UCCUUCAUUCCACCGGAGU
This 19-nucleotide non-coding RNA is filed under the name Gadus morhua (Atlantic cod). Its record names the gene gmo-miR-205-5p. The record is from miRBase by way of RNAcentral. RNAcentral also lists the same sequence under 2 other names. Lineage: Eukaryota; Metazoa; Chordata; Actinopteri; Gadiformes; Gadidae.